UUGGGUACUCUAUUGAGACUGCCGCUGACAAGGCGGAGGAAGGUGGGGACGACGUCAAGUCAUCAUGGCCCUUACGACCAGGGCUACACACGUGCUACAAUGGGUAUUACAGAGGGCUGCGAAGGUGCGAGCUGGAGCGAAACUCAAAAAGGUACUCUUAGUCCGGAUUGCAGUCUGCAACUCGACUGCAUGAAGUCGGAAUCGCUAGUAAUCGCAGGUCAGAAUACUGC
Molecule: ribosomal RNA, 230 nt
Filed under: Francisella tularensis
Lineage: Bacteria; Pseudomonadati; Pseudomonadota; Gammaproteobacteria; Thiotrichales; Francisellaceae
Description: partial ribosomal RNA
Rfam family: Bacterial small subunit ribosomal RNA
Source: RNAcentral